Cucurbita maxima (winter squash) is the source of this 444-nucleotide long non-coding RNA. RefSeq lists it as uncharacterized. The transcript is spliced from 3 exons. The record is from RefSeq and is a predicted model, not a curated record. Lineage: Eukaryota; Viridiplantae; Streptophyta; Magnoliopsida; Cucurbitales; Cucurbitaceae.
CGCUUAGGACUUUUUUUUUGCAUUUUUAGAGGAUAUGAUCUCUUAGGCGCUCUCGAUCCGACUUCUUCUCUUUCUCCUCAUUCAGGAAGAGAUUGAGAUUCCGAUUGGCUUGAAAUCGCGGUGUUCUACUCGGAAGCUUCCUUGAGUUUGCUGUUCAUCGAUGUUCUUGUGCACUUUGAAGGAUACAAGAAAACAGAGGACGACUCAUCGGAGAUUCGAGCUCCAUAAAUCUCGCAAGCUACCGGAAGCUAUCAGACCUAUUACGAAUUCACGAUUGCCAAACAGGAGUGCUCAAUCACUUGAUCCAUUUCAGGUACUAAGUUUUGUUAUCAUUAAUAAAAUUUGAAUUCUAUUUUUUAAUUAUUUUGUGCAUGUGCGUGAUACUCAAUUGAUUGCUUGAAUUUAAUUUACUUACUUUGGUUGCAUCACAACUAAAGUUAAAUU